Molecule: long non-coding RNA, 514 nt
Filed under: Fragaria vesca (wild strawberry)
Lineage: Eukaryota; Viridiplantae; Streptophyta; Magnoliopsida; Rosales; Rosaceae
Description: long non-coding RNA (FVES_LNC005494)
Source: RNAcentral
UUUAUAGAUAUACAUUUAAUACAAGGUUUGUAAUCAUUUAUAUUUUUGGCAACAUAUAGCAAGUGUUACAAAUUAACUUGGAACGUACAAGAAAAUAGUUUUGAGUUGAAACCCUAACACAUUAAUUAAGUAAUAUAUACCAUCUUUUGUAGAUAAGCAUUCAUGUAACUCGGACCCUAAAUACUAAACCCUAAACAUUAAGAGAUUAUCAUUAUUUGUACUUGCCACGAGAAAAUGAAUUUGACCGAGUUAGAUAUAUAUGAAGAAACAUGUAUGAUAUAUGGCCGGGCCGCCGGACUCACCCCACAUGCAUAGUAGCAUUGUGUCUUGAACUAGCUUCCAAUUGUCAUGAUAGAAAAAGUAACUUCAAAUUUAAGAGCAGGCGAUCCAAAAAAAAUUAUUUGAAGUUUAUAACUAAACAAAACCAAAGGGCACUUUGGUACUAGCGAGCAAAUCACAGAAGCAAUGGGAAGAUGAAGUCUAUAAAUGGGCAAGUGCAUUUUCCUGGAAGCAA